GUGGGUUAAGUAAACUAAUAAUGGUUUUCAUCACUUUUCCAGGGCACAGAUCUUGUGAAUUAAAAUUUAGUUUAUUAAAUAGUUGUUUUCUAUAAUUUUCAAAUUUUUUGCAAUAAAUAAGGAAAUGUUUUUCAUCUUCUAUUUGAUUGCAGUUAGAGCAUAUUCUGUUUUCUCUCUUAAUUUUUGGUCUGAAAUAUCUACCCUUUUCAAUCAAAAGAGGGUGGGAACUAAUUCUUAAUUUUGUAAGAUUUCUUGUUAUAUUAGGAGAACAUUUAUAAGAUAGAUAAUUUUGCAAUUUAAAUUCUUCUGAAUAAAUAUUGGCAUAGAAAUGUAAUUUAUUGUCUUGUUCAAUUGAACGUAAUUUUUCUAGAUUAUGUUAUUAGAAUGUUGGUUAUUAAUAUUUUCCUUUAAGUUCUUUAAAUUGAGAUUAUUGUCUGUUAAAUUAUAUUUUUCAAUAGAGUUAGAGAUAAAUUUGUGCCAAGAUCUGUGUCCAUCAGUAUAUAAUGAAUGAUCUAAUUUAUAUGUUUCACUAAGCAAUCUGUCAGAUGGAAGCUGUUUAAGUCGAUCAUAAUAUUUAAGGGCUAGGGUUAGUAUAUGAUUCAAAGUAGGUUGUCUUCCUAAUUCACACUUUACUGCCAUAUUUGAACUUCUCUUGUGAACUCCUAAAAUAUUUUUACAAAAUUUAUUAUGAAUUUUUUCAAAAGGUAAUUUAUCAAUAUUUGAGUCUUUUAUAUUGUAGUCACUAAUCCAUAUUUCAGAUCCAUAAGUACUUAUGGGUUUUAUAAGAGUAUCAAAAAGUUUUAAUUUUAGUUUAUGAUCUAUAGUAUUGAAUCCAAAUGUCUUAGAAUGCAGAGAAAAAAGUGCCUUUAGGCUUUGUUUGUAUAAGUGUUCUGCAGCAUGUUUAAAAUUUCCAUUAAAGUAAAUGAUAAUACCCAGAUAUUUAUAUUUCUCAACAAUUUCAAUUUCUUUGUUAUUAUAAAAAAAUUUAAAUUUUUUGAAAUCUUUUUUACCUUUACUGAAGAUCAUAAUUUUUGUUUUAUUUAAAUUGACAUUCAGCUUCCAUCUAUCACAGUAUGUUUUUAGAGAAUUUAAACAGGAUUGAAGACCUUCUUUGCUUUCAGAUAGUAACAGUAAAUCGUCAGCAUAUAAUAAGCAAUUCAUUCUAGUGUCUAUAAGCUGCACCGGAAAACAUGAUUCUUGGGGAAAAAUUGAAUCAAUGUCAUUGACAUAUAUAUUAAAUAAGAGGGGCUUAAGCCAUCACCUUGUCGCACACCUUUUCCUAAUUUAGAUGGCUCAGUAAUAGUGUUAUCUUUUUUUACAACAAAUUUUGCAUUAUUAUACAUAUGGUGAAGUAAUUGGAAAAAAUGUCCUUUUACUCCCAGUUUUAAAAGUUUUUCAAAUAAUCCAUCAUGCCAAAUUGAAUCAAAUGCCUUGGAAAAAUCUACAAAACAGGCAUAUAUC
This 1461-nucleotide long non-coding RNA is filed under the name Mytilus galloprovincialis (Mediterranean mussel). Lineage: Eukaryota; Metazoa; Mollusca; Bivalvia; Mytilida; Mytilidae. The record is from RNAcentral.